UGCUGCAUCCUGCCUACGAACCUGUCAUGGAAACCUGCAUGGCGCCACCGGCAUACAGAUCAGAGCCUGCCCGGACCUGCUCUACUGUGGCUGGGCUGAGUAUGCUGUGACGGUGAUCAGGAUUGAGGAUGAGGGCAGAGGAGGAGAGCUGCAGUAAACAAGGACAGAAAGAGAAAAAGAGAUUAGCACCAGCUAAUAAUCCCCUCUUUCAACACGUGCCGCUUCAUAUUUCCAAAUUAAAGUCGAGUGCAAGAAAAGGGGGCUUAUUAAACAUUAAACGUCCUCUGGCUGUGUCGAGCCGAACACAUCCCUCCCCUCCCGGCGCUGCCCCAGAGGCUUACAGAGCACUGUGCAGUGCUGGGCUUGCAGAGCUGGAGUAAACUAAAGUCAUACAUCACCCAGCUGAUCAGGCCUUGGGAGAGGGGCCCGGGCCAAUCAUUUUGAGAUAAAAGGAGGAUGCUAUUUGGGAGAGAGGGAGCAGGUCUUCCAGGGGCGAGACAUCAGAGGUCAUUUGCUCAUUGGGUAAAAGAGACGGGACACAGCAAUGACUCACAUGCUGAAAUAAGCAUUGGAGUUGUCCGUCUGGUGAUACUGGAGAGCUUCUACCAGAUGGUUGAGAUGUUUGAAUAACUUCUGAGAUGAAAAAAAACACAUUUGUCCUACGUUUACAGUAAAAAGCCCGCGCUACAUAACGUAGCGUCUGUAACCAACGCAGACGGCUGAGGGUUAAAUGGAGCUCAGUUUGUUUAUUUGAAGA
Molecule: long non-coding RNA, 757 nt
Organism: Gambusia affinis (western mosquitofish)
Lineage: Eukaryota; Metazoa; Chordata; Actinopteri; Cyprinodontiformes; Poeciliidae
Exons: 3
Source: RefSeq, a predicted model, not a curated record